RNAcentral lists this ribosomal RNA (445 nucleotides) under uncultured organism. Its description in RNAcentral is "partial 16S ribosomal RNA". It matches the Rfam family "Bacterial small subunit ribosomal RNA", at positions 335 to 797 of the family's 1533-position model. The record is from RNAcentral.
ACUCCUGCGGGAGGCAGCAGUGGGGAAUAUUGGACAAUGGGCGCAAGCCUGAUCCAGCCAUGCCGCGUGAGUGAUGAAGGCCCUAGGGUUGUAAAGCUCUUUCACCGGUGAAGAUAAUGACGGUAACCGGAGAAGAAGCCCCGACUAACUUCGUGCCAGCAGCCGCGGUAAUACGAAGGGGGCUAGCGUUGUUCGGAUUUACUGGGCGUAAAGCGCACGUAGGCGGACUAUUAAGUCAGGGGUGAAAUCCCGGGGCUCAACCCCGGAACUGCCUUUGAUACUGGUAGUCUUGAGUUCGAGAGAGGUGAGUGGAAUUCCGAGUGUAGAGGUGAAAUUCGUAGAUAUUCGGAGGAACACCAGUGGCGAAGGCGGCUCACUGGCUCGAUACUGACGCUGAGGUGCGAAAGCGUGGGGAGCAAACAGGAUUAGAAACCCCAGUAGUCCC